GAAGGGGAACGAAAGAUGGCGGCGGAAACGCUGCUGUCCAGUUUGUUAGGACUGCUGCUUCUGGGACUCCUGUUACCCGCAAGUCUGACCGGCGGUGUCGGGAGCCUGAACCUGGAGGAGCUGAGUGAGAUGCGUUAUGGGAUCGAGAUCCUGCCAUUGCCUGUCAUGGGAGGGCAGAGCCAAUCUUCGGACGUGGUGAUUGUCUCCUCUAAGUACAAACAGCGCUAUGAGUGUCGCCUGCCAGCUGGAGCUAUUCACUUCCAGCGUGAAAGGGAGGAGGAGACACCUGCUUACCAAGGGCCUGGGAUCCCUGAGUUGUUGAGCCCAAUGAGAGAUGCUCCCUGCUUGCUGAAGACAAAGGACUGGUGGACAUAUGAAUUCUGUUAUGGACGCCACAUCCAGCAAUACCACAUGGAAGAUUCAGAGAUCAAAGGUGAAGUCCUCUAUCUUGGCUACUACCAAUCGGCCUUCGACUGGGAUGAUGAAACAGCCAAGGUGGCAAGAGUGUGGGAUUCGGGGAGAAAGGGUUCUGGCCACCGGCUAGAGCCCUGACAAGAAGGGGAGGGUCAAAAUUAGCUGAUCUGUUUCUUGGGGCUUGGUGGCCAUUAGGACAAAGUUUCCUGGAGCCUGGGGGCACAGGCCAUUCUUUUGUCUCUUUGGGGACGCAGUGCCAUCCUUCCUCUUUGCUAUCUUUCUCAUGUCCCCCAUUCCUGCCUCAUGUCUUCUCCAGGCCUCCAAGCAGCAUCGUCUUAAACGCUACCACAGCCAGACCUACGGCAAUGGGUCCAAGUGCGACCUCAAUGGGAGGCCCCGGGAGGCCGAGGUUCGGUUCCUCUGUGACGAGGGUACAGGUAUCUCUGGGGACUACAUCGAUCGUGUGGACGAGCCCUUGUCCUGUUCUUAUGUGCUGACCAUUCGCACUCCUCGGCUCUGCCCCCACCCUCUCCUCCGGCCCCCACCCAGUGCUGCACCCCAGGCCAUCCUCUGUCACCCUUCCCUACAGCCUGAGGAGUACAUGGCC
RNAcentral lists this small RNA (1021 nucleotides) under Pongo abelii (Sumatran orangutan). Its description in RNAcentral is "retained intron". Lineage: Eukaryota; Metazoa; Chordata; Mammalia; Primates; Hominidae. The record is from RNAcentral.